ACAUUCGUAUCUUUUUAUCGUAA
Molecule: small nuclear RNA, 23 nt
Filed under: Arabidopsis thaliana (thale cress)
Lineage: Eukaryota; Viridiplantae; Streptophyta; Magnoliopsida; Brassicales; Brassicaceae
Description: snRNA_05406
Source: RNAcentral